RNAcentral lists this ribosomal RNA (465 nucleotides) under Vreelandella stevensii. RNAcentral's name for it is "partial 16S ribosomal RNA". It matches the Rfam family "Bacterial small subunit ribosomal RNA", at positions 338 to 795 of the family's 1533-position model. The record is from RNAcentral. Lineage: Bacteria; Pseudomonadati; Pseudomonadota; Gammaproteobacteria; Oceanospirillales; Halomonadaceae.
CCUACGGGGGGCAGCAGUGGGGAAUAUUGGACAAUGGGCGAAAGCCUGAUCCAGCCAUGCCGCGUGUGUGAAGAAGGCCUUCGGGUUGUAAAGCACUUUCAGUGGGGAAGAAAGCCUUGGGGCUAAUACCCUCGAGGAAGGACAUCACCCACAGAAGAAGCACCGGCUAACUCCGUGCCAGCAGCCGCGGUAAUACGGAGGGUGCGAGCGUGACUCGGAAUUACUGGGCGUAAAGCGCGCGUAGGCGGUCUGAUAAGCCGGUUGUGAAAGCCCCGGGCUCAACCUGGGAACGGCAUCCGGAACUGUCAGGCUAGAGUGCAGGAGAGGAAGGUAGAAUUCCCGGUGUAGCGGUGAAAUGCGUAGAGAUCGGGAGGAAUACCAGUGGCGAAGGCGGCCUUCUGGACUGACACUGACGCUGAGGUGCGAAAGCGUGGGUAGCAAACAGGAUUAGAUACCCGAGUAGUC